UCCGAAAUUGCAUUUCUCCUCUCUCUAGUGGAUCUCUUUAAUGGCAUUUCAGUUUCUUGAGGUUGUUGAGUUUGAUUUUCAUUAGUUAUAUCAGGGUCAUGAUGGGGGAGAUUUUCGAGAUUGUCUUGAACCGGAGUUGUGUGAUCCAUGUCAGGAAGACUAAGAUCAACAACUUGAGGGAAAGACACAUGUUCUUCCUCAAAGACAAAAUCUCUAACAACUUUAUCUCCCCACCCCCCAAACUCAAUAUCNNNN
Molecule: long non-coding RNA, 255 nt
Filed under: Nicotiana benthamiana
Lineage: Eukaryota; Viridiplantae; Streptophyta; Magnoliopsida; Solanales; Solanaceae
Description: long non-coding RNA (NBEN_LNC028267)
Source: RNAcentral